Small nuclear RNA from Ictidomys tridecemlineatus (thirteen-lined ground squirrel), 106 nucleotides. The record is from Ensembl. NCBI's taxonomy places the organism in Eukaryota, Metazoa, Chordata, Mammalia, Rodentia, Sciuridae.
GUGCUCACUUCGGCAGCACAUAUACUAAAAUUGGGACAACACAGAGAAGAUUUGCAUGGCCCCUGAGCAAGAAUGACACAUAAUUUGUGAAGCAUUUCAUAUUUUU